AGUUACUUGUCGGAGUGCUUCACUGGAUAUCCAGUAAGCUGAGACCGCGAAAGCGGGAUCCGUUGAACCUGAUCAGGCUAAUACCUGCGAAGGGAACAAGAAAAUAUAACGU
This is a non-coding RNA of Alteromonas sp. Nap_26, 112 nucleotides long. Lineage: Bacteria; Pseudomonadati; Pseudomonadota; Gammaproteobacteria; Alteromonadales; Alteromonadaceae. The record is from Rfam.